UCGAGUCCUACUCUUGCCACCA
This 22-nucleotide unclassified non-coding RNA is filed under the name Dictyostelium discoideum. Lineage: Eukaryota; Evosea; Eumycetozoa; Dictyosteliales; Dictyosteliaceae. The record is from RNAcentral.